CAGCGCCACAAGUGGGGACCAGUAUUAUUGGGCCUAAAGCAUCCGUAGCCGGCUCUGUAAGUUUUCGGUUAAAUCUGUACGCUCAACGUACAGGCUGCCGGGAAUACUGCAGAGCUAGGGAGUGGGAGAGGUAGACGGUACUCGGUAGGAAGGGGUAAAAUCCUUUGAUCUAUUGAUGACCACCUGUGGCGAAGGCGGUCUACCAGAACACGUCCGACGGUGAGGGAUGAAAGCUGGGGGAGCAAACCGGAUUAGAUACCCGAGUAGUCC
This 270-nucleotide ribosomal RNA is filed under the name uncultured archaeon. Its description in RNAcentral is "partial 16S ribosomal RNA". It matches the Rfam family "Archaeal small subunit ribosomal RNA", at positions 477 to 747 of the family's 1478-position model. The record is from RNAcentral.